AAACUUCAGCAAUGGAUGU
RNAcentral lists this ribosomal RNA (19 nucleotides) under Eimeria cylindrica. RNAcentral describes it as "partial 5.8S rRNA". Lineage: Eukaryota; Apicomplexa; Conoidasida; Eucoccidiorida; Eimeriidae. The record is from RNAcentral.